GACAGAGGGUGCAAACGUUGUUCGGAAUUACUGGGCGUAAAGCGCGUGUAGGCGGCUAAGUAAGUCGGGCGUGAAAUCCCACGGCUCAACCGUGGAAGUGCACUCGAAACUGCAUAGCUAGAGUCCUGGAGAGGAAGGUGGAAUGCUUGGUGUAGAGGUGGAAUUCGUAGAUAUCAAGCGGAACACCGGUGGCGAAGGCGGCCUUCUGGACAGUGACUGACGCUGAGACGCGAAAGCGUGGGGAGCAAACAGG
This 253-nucleotide ribosomal RNA is filed under the name uncultured bacterium. Its description in RNAcentral is "partial 16S ribosomal RNA". It matches the Rfam family "Bacterial small subunit ribosomal RNA", at positions 524 to 776 of the family's 1533-position model. The record is from RNAcentral.